GUCCAGGUGCUAUGCAAGGCGCCGCUUUCAAACCCCGUCAGGUUCGGAAGGAAGCAGCGGUAGAAGGAUGGUUCCUGUGCCGUAGUUUACCUGGGCUCU
This 99-nucleotide signal recognition particle RNA is filed under the name Spirochaetaceae bacterium. RNAcentral describes it as "signal recognition particle sRNA small type". It matches the Rfam family "Bacterial small signal recognition particle RNA". From Rfam's summary of the family: The signal recognition particle (SRP) is a universally conserved ribonucleoprotein involved in the co-translational targeting of proteins to membranes. Lineage: Bacteria; Pseudomonadati; Spirochaetota; Spirochaetia; Spirochaetales; Spirochaetaceae. The record is from RNAcentral.